Molecule: ribosomal RNA, 432 nt
Filed under: uncultured bacterium
Lineage: Bacteria
Description: partial 16S ribosomal RNA
Rfam family: Bacterial small subunit ribosomal RNA
Source: RNAcentral
GAUGAACGCUGGCGGUAUGCUUAACACAUGCAAGUCGAACGGUACCUUCGGGUAUAGUGGCGGACGGUUGAGUAACGCGUGAGAAUCUAUCUUCAGGUCGGGGACAACAGUUAGAAAUGACUGCUAAUACCGGAUGUGCCGAAAGGUAAAAGAUUUAUUGCCUGAAAAAGAGCUCGCGUCAGAUUAGCUAGGAGGUGGUGUAAGAGACUACCUAGGCUUCGAUCUGUAGCUGGGCUGAGAGGACGAUCAGCCACACUGGAACUGAGACACGGUCUAGACUCGGACGGAGGGCAGGAGUGGAGAACUUACCGGAAGGGAGGAAAGUCUGACGGAGCAAUACGGGGGGAGAGAGGAAGGGGGUUGGAUCGCAAACCUAGUUUCGAAAGGAAGAUUCAGACGGUACUUGAAGAAUAAGCACCGGCUAACUAUGUG